CUGUAACAUCCCUGUCUAUCCUCUGUUGUAGAGAGACUGUAACAUCCCUGUCUAUCCUCUAUGUUGUAGAGAGACUGUAACAUCCCUGUCUAUCCUCUGUUGUAGAGAGACUGUAACAUCCCUGUCUAUCCUCUGUUGUAGAGAGACUGUAACAUCCCUGUCUAUCCUCUAUGUUGUAGAGAGGCUGUAACAUCCCUGUCUAUCCUCUGUUGUAGAGAGACUGUAACAUCCCUGUCUAUCCUCUGUUGUAGAGAGACUAACAUCCCUGUCUAUCCUCUGUUGUAGAGAGACUAACAUCCCUGUCUAUCCUCUAUGUUGUAGAGAGACUGUAACAUCCCUGUCUAUCCUCUAUGUUGUAGAGAGACUGUAACAUCCCUGUCUAUCCUCUAUGUUGUAGAGAGACUGUAACAUCCCUG
This 416-nucleotide long non-coding RNA is filed under the name Salmo salar (Atlantic salmon). RNAcentral's name for it is "lncRNA (ENSSSAG00000120326.1)". The record is from RNAcentral. Lineage: Eukaryota; Metazoa; Chordata; Actinopteri; Salmoniformes; Salmonidae.